RNAcentral lists this ribosomal RNA (584 nucleotides) under Paracoccus sp. KIN136. RNAcentral describes it as "bacterial SSU rRNA". It matches the Rfam family "Bacterial small subunit ribosomal RNA", at positions 102 to 721 of the family's 1533-position model. The record is from RNAcentral. Lineage: Bacteria; Pseudomonadati; Pseudomonadota; Alphaproteobacteria; Rhodobacterales; Paracoccaceae.
ACGGGUGAGUAACGCGUGGGAACGUGCCCUUUUCUGCGGAAUAGCCUCGGGAAACUGAGAGUAAUACCGCAUACGCCCUUUGGGGGAAAGAUUUAUCGGAGAAGGAUCGGCCCGCGUUGGAUUAGGUAGUUGGUGGGGUAACGGCCUACCAAGCCUUCGAUCCAUAGCUGGUUUGAGAGGAUGAUCAGCCACACUGGGACUGAGACACGGCCCAGACUCCUACGGGAGGCAGCAGUGGGGAAUCUUAGACAAUGGGGGCAACCCUGAUCUAGCCAUGCCGCGUGAGUGAUGAAGGCCUUAGGGUUGUAAAGCUCUUUCAGCUGGGAAGAUAAUGACGGUACCAGCAGAAGAAGCCCCGGCUAACUCCGUGCCAGCAGCCGCGGUAAUACGGAGGGGGCUAGCGUUGUUCGGAAUUACUGGGCGUAAAGCGCACGUAGGCGGACCGGAAAGUUGGGGGUGAAAUCCCGGGGCUCAACCUCGGAACUGCCUUCAAAACUAUCGGUCUGGAGUUCGAGAGAGGUGAGUGGAAUUCCGAGUGUAGAGGUGAAAUUCGUAGAUAUUCGGAGGAACACCAGUGGCGAAGG